This is a non-coding RNA of Cinara cedri, 5208 nucleotides long. The record is from the annotation of a GenBank genome assembly. NCBI's taxonomy places the organism in Eukaryota, Metazoa, Arthropoda, Insecta, Hemiptera, Aphididae.
AAAAAACAAAAAAAAAAAAAAAAAAACAAAUAAUUUAUUAUCAAUAUAUAUAUAUAUAUUACAAAGUAUAUUUACUAUUAAGCACCGGUAUGUUGUCGUUACAAUGUCGGUCGAUUAUUAUUAUAAGUUAGACAAACAAUAUGCAUUACAAUAUAUUGUUCCCGGCAGUCGUUGUGUGCGCCACGUAGUGUUAUAAUUGUAAUAACGGUAAUGAUGAUAAUAAUAAUUUCAACGCGGUUAUUAUUAUUUUAUUGUAAUAAUAUUGUCGAGUUUAAACUAAUCUCAUCGUGAACGUCCAUUAUAUUAAAUAAUCGACUGCGGUCCGCGCGUUAUUAUAGGAAAACAAAAAAAAAAAUAAAAAAAUAAAAAAAAAAAACAUAAAAAAAUUCGAGUGUAAGUCUAGCGUAAGUGUACGGUAUAAUGAUAAUUUUACAGGCGACGCGGGUAUGACGGGACGGCCGAAUAACGUGUAUAUAACUAUUGUUAUUAUUAUUAUUAUUAUUUUUUUUUUUUUUAAAACGUUCUCAAUAUUACCGCGGCCUAAUUGUAAACGCGAUAAAUAAUCAAUAAAAAAAGUUAAAACAUUUUAAAAAAUCACAAAACAACCCGUACGAAAAAACCGAAAUUCCGAUAUGUCACAAAUAAUAUUAGCGGUCGUCGGUUAUAUUGUCGACUGGCGCGCAGUUCGGAAUCGAACGCGCGUUAAAAAUCUUACCCGGACAGAUACAAACAAAUCGUAGGGCCGUGGAUUUCGGUAGACACGCGACUGCGGGGUUUCUCGAGUCGGCGGUUUUCGCAGAUUGCGUUCUAAAGAAUGCCGUGCGACACGCCGUCAUGCGGCAGAGUACAAUAUUUUUUAUAAACACGGUUCUCGCGUUCAAUCGAUACUCGGUUGCGAACUGACGAAUACGAGAUUUCUGGUAUGGACUGACCCGGGGCGAAAUAACGGGCCCGAGGAGAAGGGAAGUGGGCUAUCAUUUUGGAAAUACGUAUGAAACACGGAAAUCAAGCUCAGCCGUUAUACCGGGGGAGCUUUGGGCAUAUUCGACAGCGAACGGGAUAGGCCAACCCCCCUUCUCCUCCAUCGGAGAGACGAUCACUCGUGCAGAUACCGCGGUACGUCACCUACAGGCCCUGUCCUUAUCGGCGGCCACCGGACGAAACUGGACGACACUGUUGUUUCUUUUCGAUUCCGUCGCCGGUCGCGGUGGAGCAACGGAGUUUUGUCACCAACGUGUAACCGCAAUCGACCGAUUGCGAAAAACGCCCGCGACCACCCGCGCCCGAAAUCGAAUGUUUACGACGGUCUGCCGAUGACACGUACCCCUGUAAUAGUUAUAGUUGCCCGCGCCGUGAUUAGGUCAGGUACCCGUGAUAACGUGUCUGCCGGAUCGAGUCCGCGAGCCGGGCGCGUCGCGAGGAUUAUCGCAAUUUCACUAAAGAUAUGGCGCGCGAUAUUAAACGCACGGGAUAAAUGCACGGACGGGACGCGACGACGUCCGUUUUCGGCACUGAAUUUCGGUAAAACACGAAAACCGACCGCCCGACAAUAGACUGUGCGACAACGGGCCCGUCCGUUUCUCCGAUAUCCUCGGCCAUAAAUCGCCGGCGCAUUUAAUAUUUCGCGUCACUGUCGGCGCCAGCAGCCUGUAGAAACCGUCGGCCGAUCCGGAGGGGGGGUGGGGAUUCAAUCCGAUUCGGCGUUAUUGUUUUUUAUUUCUUUUCUAAGAUAAGACGAGAUGAUCGAGGUAAAACAACAGCGUUAAAAAUUUUAAGCGACGGACAACGGUAUAAAUAUCUACGCCGGGACUGCGUGUGGUGGUGUCCUAACAAUAUCGCCGUAGAAAAAAAAAAAUAAUCCUCGCGAGUCGGAGCGUUUCGGCCGUAAUAACAACAGGACGACGGACGAGACAGACUGACGACCGGCUCGUGUCGCAGUGCGAAUGUCCGGAAAAACCGUACGGCGAAUCGCUUUCUCUCCGCGCUUCGAACCGGAGUAAAUUGUUCGCCUGCCCGCCGCGAUUUUCCGUUUCGGCAGAUCCGUAAAAAACCGCUACGUGCGAAAACGUUAACGACGGCGGGUUUUGCGUGUUGAACGCGGAGUGGACGGAUUGACUAUAACACGCGAAUGCAGAACAGUUCGCGUGCCUGCCGUGCGCGGGCCGAUAGAUUUCCAUGCGGAAUACGUUGGUAACGUUUAUAGCGCGACGGAAAUAUCGUUAGGUUCGCGUAAAUCACACGUAUUUUAUUAUUAUUAUUAUUAUUAUUUUUUUUUUUUUUUGCGCGCGCGUCGGUUUAUACUUGAAAUCGGUCAGAAUGUUGUUUUUUUUUUUUUUUUUCCAAUUUGAAACGUACGCGAUACGAUAUAGCGAAACAAUGACAUCCGAUUGGUGGACGCUGUCGAUUAUUAUUGUCGUCGCUAUUGUCCCGUAUCGCGCAUAAUGUCAAUCGUUAUAAAAAUCAUCAACUUAAACGAUAGGACCGAAAACGAAUCCUGUAAUAAUAAUACCAAUUUGCAAUUCACAAUCGUUAAACACAUAAUAUCUAUGUACCUGUAUAAAACCAUUAUCAUUAUCGUCAUCAAUAGUGUUGGUAAUGUAAAGACGAUUAUUUGUAGCGUUUUAUACCGAGAGAAAAAAAAAAUUACCGUACAAUAAACGUCACGCGAUAAUACUCGCGUGGAUAAUAUAUAAUAGUAUAUUUACUAUUUAUGUAUAUUUCUAUCAAAUAAUCAUCAACGAUGAUUACUAAGUAUAUUUCUAUACAAUAAUCAUCAAUGAUGAUUAUUAUUUUAUUAUUACUAUGAUGACGAUUCGUCAUAAUAAUGAUAUUAUGCUGAUAGCAGUUCAAUGAUUCCAUGGUAUGAAUAUAUAUGACUAUUCAUGUAUAUUUCUAUCAAAUAAUCAUCAACGAUGAUUAUUAUGUAUAUUUCUAUACAAUAAUCAUCAAUGAUGAUUAUUAUUUUAUUGUUAUUAUGAUGACGAUUCGUCAUAAUAAUGAUAUUAUGCUGAUAGCAGUUCAAUGAUUUUAUAGGAUGAUAAUAUUAUUAUAAUGAUAUAGCGUAUCGCCAUCCGCGAAUAGCUCAUUAUUAUUAAUUAAUUAAUUAUUAACUGUUAAAAUUAAGUCGUUUUUAAGUUAACAGUUUAUAAACUUAUUAUAAUACUUAUUUUAAGAGAGCACGGGAAAUGCCCGUCGAUACUUUUUAAAGAUUAUAACAGACGCGUUAAGGAGGAUGCAUUUCAAGCGCGGUCAGUAGGUAGAGGACGGGGAACGAAUCCACUCGCAUCCUCCCUCUCCUAUUACCGCAGCGAUGGUAGUGUUGUUAGGUAUUACAUUUAUAAGCGCGUUUUAAGUAUAAUGUAAGUAAACUAAUUUCGAUCGCGGUCAAACGGUGGGGGGCGGGAAGUGAUUGUAUUCCUCCUCCCACCCCCAUUAUUCAAACCCCGAUUCCGGGUGGACUUCCUUAUGUGUACUUAGAGAGCCCGUGUAUACAACACUAUUACAGACGUGUUUUGGACGUUGUAAAAAAUGUGUAUAGCGACCGAGUGUACGUUCAAUAUUUGUGUAGGUACAGGUAUUUUAUAAUAUUCUGUUUACCGGUUGACGACGAACAGCCAAAACGAGAGUUCGGGUACCGAAAAAUUUGAUAGCGUUUUCGCGAGUAAUCGAGGAAAAGCAAAUAUUACGGCCGAAAAAACCGAAUCGUAAUAUCAUUUCUUCUCGUUAUUUCUUUCGUACAACUACACUAUAAUAUGAUCAGUACUGCCGUUAAUUAUAGCACAUCGCCGAUAUGUAUACAUAUUAAAUAUUGUCAUAUACCUACUCCGAAACGUAUUAUUUCGUAUUUGUAGAGACAGGCGCAUUAUAUUAUUCGUGAAUGUUGAAAAAUGAUAAAUGGUUAUUUCCGGUUUCGAUGACGACGAACGACGUUUAAAGAAGCGCGCGACCGAUACGUUAAUAACAACGCCCGGCACGGUCGCGACGAAACCGUGUCAUCUGAAAAUUCCAACUCUGUUGUGCGACCGUGCAGUUCGGAAAUUACGACCCGGGAAACGAUUUUCUACAACAACAGUUUCGCUACUUUCCGUUUAAACUGAAACUUGUACAGACAUUGAACGUUAUUAGUAUAUUGCAGUAUACGCGCGGUUACAACGCCAGAACAACGUCUAAUAAGAGAGUGGACAACUGUUCUUGUCGGCCGUUUUGCAUACACGCGUUUGAGCGUUCCGAAUAAAACGAAAAAAAAAAAAACAUUCUUGUCCAGAAAUAUUCCAAAAUAGUUGAACGCAGGUACAUAGGCCGCACAUAUUGGCCUACAAACACCGGUCGACUCAGUGCCGAAUCUCGACAUCCGCAAUACUAUUGUAGUAAAUUGUUUGAAGAUCGAAAUACUUAUUUCGAAUAAACUCUUUAAUAAAGUGUUUCCUCCUAAGUUCGCCGUUUCGCGAUUGUACGGUAUAUACGGUUACUUACUACUAUUAUAGAGGUGACGAAUAUGCGUUCUUAAAAUUCCGCGGUGUUACACGCCAGACGUAUUUUACAUUAUUGAGUAUACUUGUCCGAGCAAAUCGCAAAGUGGCGUCGAGCCCGUUACGCGUAGCCAAAACAGAAAACGAUUCCCUCUAGAGAAAUGUUUUUAGAAUUCUCACGAAUCACGAUUCCCUAGUUUUUUUUUUUUUCUUCAAAAACUGUUUUAUCGAACUCGAAUACAAUACUAUACAACUCGAAACCGUGAACUACCGUCGCCCGCUCUCCGAUUUUUUACUAUACAUAGGCUCUCUACCUAAACCAUCAUAAUAUUGUUUACGUAUAAUUAUAAUUGAAUUUUAGCUGUCGUCGUUUAUAUUUACUCUAAUAAUAUUUCUGAAAAUUAUUUUUAUAAAUGGCAAAAUAUUAUAAUAUUAUUAUUACUUAAAUAAUUUAAUCCGCGUGUACAAAAUUAUUAUUAUAAAAAAUAAUAUAGGUACGCGCAUUAUGCGUAUAUGAUUAUAUUUAAGUACAUAAUUAUGUAUGCAGUUUAAGGCACAAAAAAAAAUAUAUUUAUACAUUAAAUUAUAUUAUACUAUGGGGCAAUUUCGAUUAGGGGAAAAAUAUUAACAAAACGAAUACUUUUUUACGAUAAUAUUAAUUAUAUUUUAGCGUAGAGGAUCGCCACGAGAUGAAUAAAAAAAAAAAAAAAAAAAAAAAAAAAAAAACAACCAACAAUAA